Molecule: long non-coding RNA, 779 nt
Filed under: Parus major (Great Tit)
Lineage: Eukaryota; Metazoa; Chordata; Aves; Passeriformes; Paridae
Description: lncRNA (ENSPMJG00000001297.1)
Source: RNAcentral
GAAAGACAUCAUUCAAAUUGUUAAAGAAAGAUAACACAGACAAGGAUUAAAUCACUUGAGAAAGCAUCAACAAUACUGAUUGUUUUUAAUGGACAGAUGAGAAAGUAUGUUUCUGUUUUCUGAAAAAAAGACUUUUUCUCAGUACAAUAGUAAAAUGAAGUCUGUCAGUAGGAUUGAUUUAAGACUACAGGUUGGAAUGUAGUGAAGAUCAGCCCAUUUUGUCACCAGUGCUCAAGUGAAGCUACAGGAUUUUCUGGAAAAGAACAAAAAGCAGCCAUCAUACUACUCUUAUGCACCUGAGCAGCUGCAUUAGACUUAGCAAUUAUUAAGUCCUCAAGGCAAUUUAUCAAAUUAGCCUUGCAAUAAUACAUACCUUUUUCCAUAGGCUAUACCAUUAGCAUGCCAAAUUUUGACUGUAUCAAAUAGUAAAAACUUCUCCUUAAUAUAAGUCUUUCACCUCACAAAAGUGAAAUGAGUUUGAUAUAUUCUACAUUUUCAUCUUGUUUCAUAUGAAUUGAAAAAUACUAAAAUGCACAAAAAUGUUUCCCUGAUUAUCUUCUUAAUCUGAUUUCUUGCUAAAUGUGAUUAUUGCAGAUGCAGUCCCACUCAGCAGAUUUGUCAUGACAAAAUAGCCAUAGUUUAGCGUGGGAGAUGGAAAGUGGCUGAAUUUGAGGUCAUAUGUGAUGAGUCAGAUAUUUUAGCUGGAAAAAAUUCUUUCUAAACAACAAGGUCAGGUUAACUCUGCUAGAACCAGACAAACCAGCAGUUUUGGAAUGCUU